GAGUCUCUCUUAAGAAGAAACUGCCCUUGCUGCAGGAGCACAGAUCAACACUUUAGGUUGAAACUGGAUGGUUUCAUUUGCCCUGAACAGCUCUCUGCUGAAACACCAGUGCCACUGGGGUCAGAGAGGAGCAUCCGGAUGGAAGUACUGCAGCAGAUCCGGGGCGUCUGCAGCAAUCAGAUCACGCUCGUGUGGGCCUAAGGACUCAACUGACUUGGCUUUAGAUAUCCCAGGAGACUCCUGCUUUCUGUCUUUUGCUAUCUGAAUAUUUUUCCAUCUGUUUCUAAGGGAUCACAGUGAGCAGUUGCCCUCAUGCCCCUUGAAACGGACCCAGACACAUGGGUUAGGCUGAGCAAGACCUGUGAAAAGGUAUUUCUGCACAGAUCAGCAAGACAAAAACCCGUUGAAUGUUUGGUGACCAGCUCAGCCCAAACCUUGGUUAAGCUUCAGCUUAUUCAAAAAGAAAGGAGAAACAUGUGGAAACUCUUUGUUGCAUAGUAGCUCCAAGAGGCUGGCACUGUCAGGGUGCCCUCAGUGAACUCUAAAAGAAAAGUCAAUGGGACUGCAGCAGUGCACACGAGAUCCAUACAGCCAGUUUCUGCCCCCAUCUUCACAUGGGUUCUAUGGAGGUGACACUUCUCUGAAGCUGGUCCGCAUACAUGAAAGUACCUGAGUUUUCUGUCUGUAAACACCACAUGGGGCUGGCUGUGUUACUACUCAGACAGAACAUAAAGAUGUACAAAGUUCUCCAAGUGCCACAUAUGACUAUUGCUGGACAAAGAACAGCUUUUCAUUUAUUGGCAUCAGGAGCAGAAUCAUGUGCAUUUGCCAUCCAUCAAGGGUCUUAGAAUACAUGUGUUUUAAAGGGAGACAAGCACAGGCAGAGAUGGAUCCAAACAAGCUGCAGCAUUAUCUCAAUUUGUUUUCGGGUAAUUCUAUAUGGGUAAAUAUUAAACUGUGUGAGAGGGAAGGCCCUGUGCCAGCCAAGAUUUAGCCAGAACCAGGCCUCCCCUCACCAUGUUUCUGUCUGCAAAGAGCAGGAGCUUUGCUAAAUUUGCAGCAGACAGCUCUGACCAACAGGCAGUUGUUCAAUUAUAUCUUAAGCCUCCUUGACACAUGAUAAAGAAACAUGUAUAUUAAAAUGCCAUGUAAAAACCAGGCUUCUCAGGGACUGUAAGCUGAGAUCUGUGCCAGCAAGUUUCAAAAUGAGGAUUUGACCCAUGAGAUCAUGUUAUCCCAUUCACAACACAGAGCAGAAGGAAAGUUUGGGGAUUCGAAUCCUUUUGAACGUGAUACUGUAGCUGUGAGAAGAGCCAGGGAUUUACAGAUUUGUAGAGCAGUAGAUACACACUUGUAUUUACUAAGGCAUCAGAUCUUGUACAGUUGGUCAAGUUCUCCAGCACAGAGCGGUCUGUUGGUAUCACUCAGUUAGUAAAAUGCAGCAUAAAAUCCACAUUAGCCAUUCUGGAGCAGAUAACUUCACACUAACAGAAGCUCCCAUACAUCAGGUACUUCCAAACUGCAAUCCUCUUUGCUCCAAAGCUGAAGAGAAGGAGGAAUGGCCAAAAGAGAAAAGUCACUGUCUGGGUAUGAAGGUGAGCCCAGCUGCGAUGUGCCCCCCUUGAGGCUGGUAACGAUCAAGGAAAUAUUCAGUAAAUAUUCUUUUAAUAUGCAGAAGGUACAAGUUUAAGAGAAAGAAGAAAAAUUCUUUCAAAGAAAUAGGAACAAAUAUUCGUGAGCUGGGUAAUCCAGGCUGAUUUACAUGUCCAGAGGGUGGACAGGAGUGUCAAACAGAGGUGUGGGCAGCUGCAUUAGUUCUGAAGUCAAGGAACUCAGUAUCUAAACUGCAUCUAAGCAGAGCCUGCCUGCCAGAAGGAAAAAUGCUCAGUACGGUGUAACUGCACACUGAGAGCUAAUGAAGCAUUCUAGGGAUGAAAAAGAGAGCAGCAGGCCCAGGUCAAUAAAGAUGGGCUGAACGCUAGAAAUGAAAUUAGUGUAAGAACACAAUGAGAGGAAGAGAGAUUAUACAAUAAUCCAUUUGUGAAGAUUUGGAUGCAGAAAAUAAGUAAUAUGAUGUUUCAAGAGCACGCGGUCAUUCCCCCAGUGACUGUAUUAUAAUAGAUAUGUGCAAUGUUAGUUUUAAUAAUGAACAUGCUGUCUUAUCCUUUGUGUUUUCUGGUUUUUGAUGAUUUUUCUGACUACAACUUUAUCUGAGGAAUUUUGAAGCCUUUUAUUGCAUUUCUGUGCAGAUGGAAAAAAGUCCUCAUGUAGCUCAUGACACUUCCACAUGCCUCAUUGCAUAUAAUAGAUACUCUUUCAGAAGCUGCUGUUACUUUAAGAAUUGACUUGUUAUAUAUAAAAUUAUAUCUGUCAGGUAGAUUUAGAGAUACCUCUUGGACUGGAAAUGCAACUUACAUGUAGGUUUAGAAGGUUUUAUCACAUGGUCUACAUGCCUGGUGCCCAUUUAACCAAUUCUCACAUUUUUCUAUUAUGUUUUUUUUUUUUUUUAAGAUUUUCUUUCUUUAUAAAGAAGGCUAAGGUAAUUUACUCCCAAUGUUUAUUAUAUAUGAAGUUGUUGAAAUAAUGAGGGCAAUAAAAUUGAAUUUAGCAUUGUCUUUAUUGGUACGAAGGUUACAUUCAUAAGUUUUGUUUGUUUUAAUAGGUUUAUUGUACAGUCUUAGGCAUAUGCUAUUGUGCAGCGAUGGAUAUGCUUUGAAUAUUUUUGUAAUUGUGGGUAGUAUAAAAGUCAUUUUCUGUUAGAUUGCACAAAUCCAUUACAUUAGUAGAAAGAUACAUUAUUGUAAUAGGAUUAAUGUGCAACACAUAAACAUGAUCAGUAAUAUUCUUUGUGAUAAAUUAUCUCAUUUUAAUCACUUGGAAUGUAGAGAGAUUUCAGGAUAGUUCCAUCUUUGAUUUGCAUAAUUGUAUUACAGACAGACAAAUUGCAUUAUAUUCUUCAUUAACAAUAGAUGGCUUGUAUAACUAUUGUAUUUUUGAAGGAACUGCUCUUAUGUUCAUCCUGUAAUUUGUCAUUUUAUGACACCACUGUUUAGCUUAGUUUGGAGAGAAUAGAAACUAAAAGAUAAUUUGAUUUUAGCAGAGUACAAGUAAUAUCUCUGCAUUCCGCUGUAAUGCAGUAAGCUAUUGUUUGUUUUAACAAAUUAUAAUCCAACAGCCAAAGUUAGUUAAAAAAUUCUUAUUAUUUCUGGCUGAUCCCAUGUUCAUGGCUUUUCACAGCAAAGCGUCAGCGCUUGUAAAGGAACUUCGACGUGAAAACACAACAUUAAAUUAAAUUAGAUCCAUCAGAAUGUUUUCUACUUCUCUACUUGGGCUCUCCCUCACCUGUUCAUAUUUUUCUUCCUUAUGCAUUCACACACACCAACACAUGCUCUGUUCUAGCAUUCACGGAGUUCUUUAGGGCUCUAUGAUUCCAUAGGUAAACGAAACAACUGAAUUGCAAAUUAUAUCAUAAAAUGUAUUAUACAUUUUUUUUUUCCAAUUGCAAGCCCUUCUCUUUAAGGAUAAUGUAUCUUUGCUAUGAAAAACUAAAUUGUUCUGCAGAUAUUUUAGGAUAAAACAAAUUGUUUUUUUCAUAUUUCUCUAACCAAGCCUUCUUCAAUCAUUUUUGACUGCUAAGAAUACCAGUAAAUUAAAAGUUAGUAGCUUGAGACAGCCUUGUACUCCUACCAAAUCAAAACCAGCUUCUUAUUUUAGAAAAUCUAAUUGUGGCACUCUAUUAUGGUACCUCGAGUGUUGUGAUUCUUUAAAAAGAAAUUGGGUUUAGAAAGAAAUUAGUAUGGCUAAAUCACAGAUACUUUUGUUUGAUAAUGAAACACAAAACUGAAGUUCCUGAUAUACAUGCAAAUCAGAACUCAGGCCUAACUCAUUGAAGAUUGCUGUUUUAAAUGGAAUUUCAAAAAUCUCAGCCAACAUUCUUAUAAUUUGAUCCUAAAUGCAGGCUGUUAGCUUAGGGCUCGAUCCCACAAAUGUUUUUGUACAUUUUUAUUACAUCUGAUGAGCAGUUCUAUCGGUGCUGCUUUAACCAGUCAGAAACAAAAUCCUAUAAUGUCAAUGGGAAUAUGGCUGCUGAGUGUAGGGAAGACAGAAUUCCACUCUCCUCUUCCUGCUACAGACACCUGUGGCAGAUCUGGCCUCCCUAAAAAUGUUUUGUGUUGUUUUCAUUACAAUACGUUACAAAUGAACUUCACAGAGAUGGGAAAAGGAGAAAGGCUUUGGGCCAAAUCUACAUUUUUCUUCAAUCAGUUAAAAUACACUAUUACAAAACUUCUCAGGCUUACAGUGCAUUUUACGUUAUGAUUCUUCUUGUCAAAAAUAAGUAAAAAAAACCCUAAUAAUCUACAUCUUACUUUUUAAAAAUAUUCUGAAGGAGAAAUACAUAAAAUUACUGUGUUCACAUCAAUUUGUUGAAACUGUAUGAGGAAAAGGGAACUGAAUAAAACCUCG
RNAcentral lists this long non-coding RNA (4464 nucleotides) under Gallus gallus (chicken). Its description in RNAcentral is "lncRNA (ENSGALG00010022156.1)". The record is from RNAcentral. Lineage: Eukaryota; Metazoa; Chordata; Aves; Galliformes; Phasianidae.